GCAGAACGCGAAGAACCUUACCAGGUCUUGACAUCCUAGAAACUUUCCAGAGAUGGAUUGGUGCCUUCGGGAAUCUAGAGACAGGUGCUGCAUAGCUGUCGUCAGCUCGUGUCGUGAGAUGUUGGGUUAAGUCCCGUAACGAGCGCGAACCCUUGUCCUUAGUUGCCAGCGAGUAACUGUCGGGAACUCUAAGGAGACUGCCGGUAACAAACCGGAGGAAGGUGGGGACGACGGUCAAGUCAUCAUGGCCCUUACGACCUGGCUACACACGUGCUACAAUGGGGCGCACAAAGGGUUGCCAAGCCGCGAGGUGGAGCUAAUCCCAUAAAACGUCUCGUAGUCCGGAUUGGAGUCUGCGAACUCGACUCCAUGAAGUCGGAAUCGCUAGUAAUCGUAAAUCAGAAUGUUACGGUGAAUACGUUCCCGGGUCUUGUACACACCG
This 442-nucleotide ribosomal RNA is filed under the name uncultured bacterium. Its description in RNAcentral is "bacterial SSU rRNA". It matches the Rfam family "Bacterial small subunit ribosomal RNA", at positions 954 to 1392 of the family's 1533-position model. The record is from RNAcentral.